GGUGAACACGGAGCUUGCUCUGUGGGAUCAGUGGCGAACGGGUGAGUAACACGUGAGCAACCUGCCCCUGACUCUGGGAUAAGCGCUGGAAACGGCGUCUAAUACUGGAUAUGUGACGUGACCGCAUGGUCUGCGUCUGGAAAGAAUUUCGGUUGGGGAUGGGCUCGCGGCCUAUCAGCUUGUUGGUGAGGUAAUGGCUCACCAAGGCGUCGACGGGUAGCCGGCCUGAGAGGGUGACCGGCCACACUGGGACUGAGACACGGCCCAGACUCCUACGGGAGGCAGCAGUGGGGAAUAUUGCACAAUGGGCGCAAACCUGACGCAGCAACGCCGCGUGAGGGACGACGGCCUUCGGGUUGUAAACCUCUUUUAGCAGGGAAGAAGCGAAAGUGACGGUACCUGCAGAAAAAGCGCCGGCUAACUACGUGCCAGCAGCCGCGGUAAUACGUAGGGCGCAAGCGUUAUCCGGAAUUAUUGGGCGUAAAGAGCUCGUAGGCGGUUUGUCGCGUCUGCUGUGAAAUCCGGAGGCUCAACCUCCGGCCUGCAGUGGGUACGGGCAGACUAGAGUGCGGUAGGGGAGAUCGGAAUUCCUGGUGUAGCGGUGGAAUGCGCAGAUAUCAGGAGGAACACCGAUGGCGAAGGCAGAUCUCUGGGCCGUAACUGACGCUGAGGAGCGAAAGGGUGGGGAGCAAACAGGCUUAGAUACCCUGGUAGUCCACCCCGUAAACGUUGGGAACUAGUUGUGGGGUCCAUUCCACGGAUUCCGUGACGCAGCUAACGCAUUAAGUUCCCCGCCUGGGGAGUACGGCCGCAAGGCUAAAACUCAAAGGAAUUGACGGGGACCCGCACAAGCGGCGGAGCAUGCGGAUUAAUUCGAUGCAACGCGAAGAACCUUACCAAGGCUUGACAUAUACGAGAACGGGCCAGGAAUG
RNAcentral lists this ribosomal RNA (932 nucleotides) under uncultured Microbacterium sp. RNAcentral describes it as "bacterial SSU rRNA". It matches the Rfam family "Bacterial small subunit ribosomal RNA", at positions 68 to 1008 of the family's 1533-position model. The record is from RNAcentral. Lineage: Bacteria; Bacillati; Actinomycetota; Actinomycetes; Micrococcales; Microbacteriaceae.